Varroa destructor (honeybee mite) is the source of this 371-nucleotide long non-coding RNA. RefSeq lists it as uncharacterized. NCBI's taxonomy places the organism in Eukaryota, Metazoa, Arthropoda, Arachnida, Mesostigmata, Varroidae. The record is from RefSeq and is a predicted model, not a curated record.
UGCAAGUGAGUUAAGCUAAUUAAGUGAGAACAGAGACGAAACCUAGGGGCUUAAGAAGUUAAACAGGAGCACCAUUUCCGGACGCCGCUUACAGCAUGAACGGGUAGACAUCCAGAUUUCACCAAUGCAGGGACGCAUGUUCUCAAAUGCGUAUGAGGUUGGAUUAGAUCCUCAAUAUAUCAUAACCAAUGCCCAGAAGAAUAUAAACGGGAGAAAGGACUCGGGUAGAACUUAUUGCCCCUGAAAGCCCAGAUACCGAAGAACGAAGACGUCAAACAUACCGGACAAUCGUGAACCUUACGAUGAAAAAUACGACAUUGUCUUAAAAACAUCAACACAAUUCUAUCAGAUAAAGUUUCUCCUGUUUUAUC